This 64-nucleotide transfer RNA is filed under the name Leptosomus discolor (cuckoo roller). It matches the Rfam family "tRNA". Rfam says of the family: Transfer RNA (tRNA) molecules are approximately 80 nucleotides in length. Their secondary structure includes four short double-helical elements and three loops (D, anti-codon, and T loops). Further hydrogen bonds mediate the characteristic L-shaped molecular structure. tRNAs have two regions of fundamental functional importance: the anti-codon, which is responsible for specific mRNA codon recognition, and the 3' end, to which the tRNAs corresponding amino acid is attached (by aminoacyl-tRNA synthetases). tRNAs cope with the degeneracy of the genetic code in two manners: having more than one tRNA (with a specific anti-codon) for a particular amino acid; and 'wobble' base-pairing, i.e. permitting non-standard base-pairing at the 3rd anti-codon position. The record is from Rfam by way of RNAcentral. Lineage: Eukaryota; Metazoa; Chordata; Aves; Leptosomiformes; Leptosomidae.
CAGAAAGUAGUUUAAUGUAAAAUGCCAGCUUUGGAAGUCGGAGGUUUAAGUCCUCUUUUUCUGA